UAGAAGCACUGAAUAUCCUAGGGGGCGUCAAAGCUUACCGAAGAUAUCAAACUCCGAAUGCCGCGUAGAUGAUGUACGGGAGUCAGACUGCACGAGAUAAGUUGGGUAGUCAAAAGGGAAAGAGCCCAGACCACCAGCUAAGGUCCCAAAGUGCGUGUUAAGUGGUAAAGGAUGUGGGAUUUCGAAGACAACUAGGAUGUUGGCUCAGAAGCAGCCAUACAUUCAAAGAGUGCGUAAUAGCUCACUAGUCGAGAGGUCCUGCGCCGAAAAUGUCCGGGGCUAAAACACGACACCGAAGCUGUGGAUCCGAAAGGAUGGUAGAGGAGCAUUCUUAAGUCGACGAAGCUGUACUGUAAGGAGCAGUGGAGAGUUAAGAAGAGAGAAUGCCGGAAUGAGUAGCGAGAUUUAAGUGAGAAUCUUAAAGGCCGAAUAUCUAAGGUUUCCAGGGUAAAGCUGAUCUUCCCUGGGUAAGUCGGGGCCUAAGGCGAGGACGAAAGUCGUAGUCGAUGGAUAACAGGUUGAAAUUCCUGUACUGCUUAUGAACAGAACUGUGGGGACGCAGAAGGAGAGCACGAGCCGGAAAUGGAAAAGCCGGUACAAGCGUAUAGCAGUCACAUAGGAAAAUCCGUGUGAGAAAUGUAAAGCGUGAUGUGGAUCGAACAUUAGUAGAGAAGCGUGUGAGCCAGCUGCCAAGAAAAGCCGCUAUUGUUUCAUGAGUACCCGUACCGUAAACCGACACAGGUGGAUGAGGAGAGAAUCCUAAGGCCGGCGGGAGAAGUGUUGUUAAGGAACUCGGCAAAAUGACUCCGUAACUUCGGGAGAAGGAGUGCCAUAGAAAUAUGGCCGCAGAGAAAUGGCCCAAGCAACUGUUUAGCAAAAACACAGGUCUAUGCAAAACCGAAAGGUGAGGUAUAUGGGCUGACGCCUGCCCGGUGCUGGAAGGUUAAGAGGAGAGGUUAGAGCAAUCGAAGCUUUGAAUUUAAGCCCCAGUAAACGGCGGCCGUAACUAUAACGGUCCUAAGGUAGCGAAAUUCCUUGUCGGGUAAGUUCCGACCCGCACGAAAGGCGUAAUGAUUUGGGCACUGUCUCAACAACACACCCGGUGAAAUUGAAAUACCAGUGAAGAUGCUGGUUACCUGCGCCAGGACGGAAAGACCCCAUGGAGCUUUACUCCAGUUUGAUACUGGGAUUCGGUACUGUCUGUACAGGAUAGGUGGGAGGCUAGGAAAUGGUGACGCCAGUUGCCAUGGAGCCAACCUUGGGAUACCACCCUUACAGUACUGGGUUUCUAACCUGCAGCCGUGACCCGGCUGGGGGACAAUGUCUGACGGGGAGUUUGACUGGGGCGGUCGCCUCCGAAAGAGUAUCGGAGGCGCUCAAAGGUUCCCUCAGAACGGUUGGAAACCGUUCGAAGAGUGCAAAGGCAGAAGGGAGCUUGACUGCGACACCGACGGGUGGAGCAGAUACGAAAGUAGGACUUAGUGAUCCGGUGGUAUAAAGUGGGAUUGCCAUCGCUCAACGGAUAAAAGCUACCCUGGGGAUAACAGGCUUAUCACUCCCAAGAGUUCACAUCGACGGAGUGGUUUGGCACCUCGAUGUCGGCUCAUCGCAUCCUGGAGCUGUAGCAGGUUCCAAGGGUUGGGCUGUUCGCCCAUUAAAGCGGUACGCGAGCUGGGUUCAGAACGUCGUGAGACAGUUCGGUCCCUAUCCGGCGUGGGCGUAGGAUAUUUGAGAGGAGCUGUCCUUAGUACGAGAGGACCGGGAUGGACAAACCUCUGGUGUAUCUGUUGU
Molecule: ribosomal RNA, 1791 nt
Filed under: Coprococcus eutactus ATCC 27759
Lineage: Bacteria; Bacillati; Bacillota; Clostridia; Lachnospirales; Lachnospiraceae
Description: bacterial LSU rRNA
Rfam family: Bacterial large subunit ribosomal RNA
Source: RNAcentral